This 226-nucleotide long non-coding RNA is filed under the name Elaeis guineensis (African oil palm). Its description in RNAcentral is "long non-coding RNA (EGUI_LNC044133)". Lineage: Eukaryota; Viridiplantae; Streptophyta; Magnoliopsida; Arecales; Arecaceae. The record is from RNAcentral.
UUAGGGCUGAAAAUAGCUUUUCUCAAAUUUAAUCUUUGAGCUUGCAAAAAUCUUAUAAUUUUUUACUUCAAGAGAGCAUUUAUAGUUGUAAUUUAUCCUUAAAAAUAUCUUAGAGUUAGUUUAGAACCGUUGGAGUAUAUUUAAUGUGUAUUAAAUGCAUCAAAAAAUAGACUGAAAAUUAGUCGUUACGCAUGCUUGCAGAAAUGGAUGUCUCAUGGGGCAUCCC